CACACCGCCCGUCACACCAUGGGAGUUGGAUUGACCCGAAGGUGGUGAGCUGACCCGCAAGGGAGGCAGCCAACCACGGUCGGUUCAGCGACUGGGGUG
This 99-nucleotide ribosomal RNA is filed under the name uncultured bacterium. RNAcentral describes it as "partial 16S ribosomal RNA". It matches the Rfam family "Bacterial small subunit ribosomal RNA", at positions 1386 to 1482 of the family's 1533-position model. The record is from RNAcentral.